Molecule: unclassified non-coding RNA, 215 nt
Filed under: Hevea brasiliensis (rubber tree)
Lineage: Eukaryota; Viridiplantae; Streptophyta; Magnoliopsida; Malpighiales; Euphorbiaceae
Source: RNAcentral
CGAUUUUCCCCUUAAAAAACUAGAACGGAAUCCGCUAACCCAGUGAUCUCAAUUCCUUAAUGAAUCUUCCUUUUCCUUCAAUCUUCAUUUAUCUAAUCAAGAUUUUGAUUCCGUUUGGGAAUUGAUGUUCCUUACUUCACCAGAGAAUCACUGAUUUCGCUAUAUAUAUCAGUUUCACCCCCUUUCUUUUUUCCAUCCAUUGACAAGAACGAAGG